UACAGAGGUCUCAAGCGUUGUUCGGAUUUAUUGGGCGUAAAGGGUGCGUAGGCGGCAGAUCAAGUUAGAUGCGAAAUACCCGGGCUCAACCCGGGAACUGCAUUUAAUACUGCUCUGCUCGAGUAUUAGAGAAGAAGCUGGAAUUUACGGUGUAGCAGUGAAAUGCGUAGAUAUCGUAAAGAACGUCAGUGGCGAAAGCGAGCUUCUAGAUAAUUACUGACGCUGAGGCACGAAAGCUAGGGGAGCAAACGGG
This 253-nucleotide ribosomal RNA is filed under the name uncultured bacterium. RNAcentral's name for it is "partial 16S ribosomal RNA". It matches the Rfam family "Bacterial small subunit ribosomal RNA", at positions 524 to 776 of the family's 1533-position model. The record is from RNAcentral.